This 253-nucleotide ribosomal RNA is filed under the name uncultured bacterium. Its description in RNAcentral is "partial 16S ribosomal RNA". It matches the Rfam family "Bacterial small subunit ribosomal RNA", at positions 524 to 776 of the family's 1533-position model. The record is from RNAcentral.
UACGUAGGGGGCAAGCGUUGUCCGGAUUUAUUGGGCGUAAAGAGCGUGUAGGCGGCCAGACAGGUCCGUUGUGAAAACUCGAGGCUCAACCUCGAGACGCCGAUGGAAACCGUUUGGCUAGAGUCCGGAAGAGGAGAGUGGAAUUCCUGGUGUAGCGGUGAAAUGCGCAGAUAUCAGGAAGAACACCCGUGGCUAAGGCGGCUCUCUGGGACGGUACUGACGCUGAGACGCGAAAGCGUGGGGAGCGAACAGG